CCUACGGGAGGCAGCAGGGAGGAAUAGUGGGCAAUGGGCGCGAGCCUGAACCAGCCAAGUAGCGUGAAGGAUGACUGCCCUACGGGUUGUAAACUUCUGUUAUAAAGGAAUAAAGUGAGGCACGUGUGCCUUUUUGUAUGGACGUUAUGAAUAAGGAUCGGCUAACGCCGUGCCAGCAGCCGCGGUAAUACGGAGGAUCCGAGCGUUAUCCGGAUUUAUUGGGUUUAAAGGGAGCGUAGAUGGGUUGUUAAGUCAGUUGUGAAAGUUUGCGGCUCAACCGUAAAAUUGCACUUGAUACUGGCAGCCUUGCGUACAGUUGAGGUAGGCGGACUUCGUGGUGUAGCGG
Molecule: ribosomal RNA, 346 nt
Filed under: uncultured bacterium
Lineage: Bacteria
Description: partial 16S ribosomal RNA
Rfam family: Bacterial small subunit ribosomal RNA
Source: RNAcentral